UAUGACAUAUGCAUAUUCUUGAACACUCACCCCGCCGUUGAAGUUGUCCUCAAACGUGAAUCAGCACAUUGAAAUUGCCUGGGACUGUCGAGGUGGACCCUAAAAGGAAGGAAAUCUCAGAGCGAGGAAGUUUCCAAUCAGAGCGCUUCAAAAGGAAAUAUAAACCUUAGCUGUAAUCGAAUACGCCACGAUAGUUCUUCUGUUUCUACGUUGAAUUCGUUCGAAAGGACCGAUAAAGAAAUAAAUAUUCCUCCACGAGGCGUUUAAUCAGUUCUUAUCUCAGCUUUUGCAAUGAGUUACCCACCUCAACCACCGCCGUACAAUCCAACAGCUCCUCAGCCGAACGCUGGAGUUGAUUUCGAACUAUAUCAACAAGGAACUCCAUAUCCUCCGCCGCCAUAUUCAGCACCAUAUCCUCAACAACAGUACGGCGGGCCUCCUCCACAGCCAGGCUAUCCUCCGCAGCAGGGCUAUCAACAGCCUUAUGGUCAGCCACAGUAUGUCUACACAAACCAGCCUAAAACUGUUUACGUUUAUGAUCAAAAUGGGAGACGUAGACAAGACAACAGUGAUGCUGCAGACUGCUUUCUGUUAGGGCUAUGUGCUGCAUGUCUGUGCUGUUGUGUUCUCGACUAAUUACAGUGACAUUUGAACGUGUUUAUGUACGUUACAUAAUAGGUUUUCUAUCUGUUAGCUCUAACUUGCUUCGAGAAAGCCUGUGGGUAGUUUCAUAAAUUCAGAAAAGAACAGAACUUGUGAUAUAAAAUUGUGUAUGUACGUGUGUGCGUGUAAGUAAUAUUAUAUUCUCAGAAUUCUAAAUAUUGCAUAAUUAUAGAUCUGAAGUUUAUCAUGUUGCUAGUUUCCAAUGCAAAUGUAAUGUGAUGUAGUAGCAGGUUGUGAUUCCAUAUAUGGCAGAACAGAUGAAUCUUUUAAAAUACAACGAUAAACGAAAAAUAUAUGGUGUAAAUGUGUGACAAAGUUUCCCAAGAAGCUGAAUUAGAGGGAAAUUGGGGAAGAAAACGUUUCUAGUUUUUUUCUAAGGAUUCUUCCGAAUUUUCAUAAUCAUUGAUUCAAACCAUAAAAGUAUAUUGUAAGCCAUUUUGUCUAAAAUUAAUUUUAGAUUAAGAUUGCAGUGUUCAGGUAUGCUUAGUGUUCAAAAUUUAGAAUAUUAAAGUACAACUUUGCUCAACAUAAAAACAAAUUGCACCAUGCAGGUGUGAAGACGAAGAGUUUUUCAAUCAAAACCUGCAUAUUGAGCUUUUAUGGAGUAGAGAGCUCCUGAAAGGUUUUGUUCGAAAUAGAGAAUUUUUCACUCCUUUAAAUAUCUGCUCAUAGAUCAUGAAUUAGUCAAUAAAAACUCUUUCAGAAAAUUUAACCUUCUUUGGUUAAACCACCCAUCUUUGUUUGGUUUGUAUCAGAUACUUUCAUUUUUAAAGAGCAGCUUACAGGUUGUUGAUUAAAAGUGCAAUGAUAAUUCAUCAUCAUGAUUGUA
RNAcentral lists this long non-coding RNA (1492 nucleotides) under Pocillopora damicornis (cauliflower coral). Its description in RNAcentral is "uncharacterized LOC113682572". Lineage: Eukaryota; Metazoa; Cnidaria; Anthozoa; Scleractinia; Pocilloporidae. The record is from RNAcentral.